Molecule: ribosomal RNA, 253 nt
Filed under: uncultured bacterium
Lineage: Bacteria
Description: partial 16S ribosomal RNA
Rfam family: Bacterial small subunit ribosomal RNA
Source: RNAcentral
UACGGGGGGGGCAAGCGUUGUUCGGAAUUACUGGGCGUAAAGGGCUCGUAGGCGGCCAACUAAGUCGGACGUGAAAUCCCCAGGCUCAACCUGGGAACUGCAUCCGAUACUGGAUGGCUUGAAUUCGGGAGAGGGAUGCAGAAUUCCAGGUGUAGCGGUGAAAUGCGUAGAUAUCUGGAGGAAUACCGGUGGCGAAGGCGGCAUCCUGGACCGACAUUGACGCUGAGGAGCGAAAGCAAGGGGAACAAACGGG